RNAcentral lists this ribosomal RNA (2904 nucleotides) under Escherichia coli. RNAcentral describes it as "23S ribosomal RNA". It matches the Rfam family "Bacterial large subunit ribosomal RNA". Lineage: Bacteria; Pseudomonadati; Pseudomonadota; Gammaproteobacteria; Enterobacterales; Enterobacteriaceae. The record is from RNAcentral.
GGUUAAGCGACUAAGCGUACACGGUGGAUGCCCUGGCAGUCAGAGGCGAUGAAGGACGUGCUAAUCUGCGAUAAGCGUCGGUAAGGUGAUAUGAACCGUUAUAACCGGCGAUUUCCGAAUGGGGAAACCCAGUGUGAUUCGUCACACUAUCAUUAACUGAAUCCAUAGGUUAAUGAGGCGAACCGGGGGAACUGAAACAUCUAAGUACCCCGAGGAAAAGAAAUCAACCGAGAUUCCCCCAGUAGCGGCGAGCGAACGGGGAGGAGCCCAGAGCCUGAAUCAGUGUGUGUGUUAGUGGAAGCGUCUGGAAAGGCGCGCGAUACAGGGUGACAGCCCCGUACACAAAAAUGCACAUGCUGUGAGCUCGAUGAGUAGGGCGGGACACGUGGUAUCCUGUCUGAAUAUGGGGGGACCAUCCUCCAAGGCUAAAUACUCCUGACUGACCGAUAGUGAACCAGUACCGUGAGGGAAAGGCGAAAAGAACCCCGGCGAGGGGAGUGAAAAAGAACCUGAAACCGUGUACGUACAAGCAGUGGGAGCACGCUUAGGCGUGUGACUGCGUACCUUUUGUAUAAUGGGUCAGCGACUUAUAUUCUGUAGCAAGGUUAACCGAAUAGGGGAGCCGAAGGGAAACCGAGUCUUAACUGGGCGUUAAGUUGCAGGGUAUAGACCCGAAACCCGGUGAUCUAGCCAUGGGCAGGUUGAAGGUUGGGUAACACUAACUGGAGGACCGAACCGACUAAUGUUGAAAAAUUAGCGGAUGACUUGUGGCUGGGGGUGAAAGGCCAAUCAAACCGGGAGAUAGCUGGUUCUCCCCGAAAGCUAUUUAGGUAGCGCCUCGUGAAUUCAUCUCCGGGGGUAGAGCACUGUUUCGGCAAGGGGGUCAUCCCGACUUACCAACCCGAUGCAAACUGCGAAUACCGGAGAAUGUUAUCACGGGAGACACACGGCGGGUGCUAACGUCCGUCGUGAAGAGGGAAACAACCCAGACCGCCAGCUAAGGUCCCAAAGUCAUGGUUAAGUGGGAAACGAUGUGGGAAGGCCCAGACAGCCAGGAUGUUGGCUUAGAAGCAGCCAUCAUUUAAAGAAAGCGUAAUAGCUCACUGGUCGAGUCGGCCUGCGCGGAAGAUGUAACGGGGCUAAACCAUGCACCGAAGCUGCGGCAGCGACGCUGAUGCGUUGUUGGGUAGGGGAGCGUUCUGUAAGCCUGCGAAGGUGUGCUGUGAGGCAUGCUGGAGGUAUCAGAAGUGCGAAUGCUGACAUAAGUAACGAUAAAGCGGGUGAAAAGCCCGCUCGCCGGAAGACCAAGGGUUCCUGUCCAACGUUAAUCGGGGCAGGGUGAGUCGACCCCUAAGGCGAGGCCGAAAGGCGUAGUCGAUGGGAAACAGGUUAAUAUUCCUGUACUUGGUGUUACUGCGAAGGGGGGACGGAGAAGGCUAUGUUGGCCGGGCGACGGUUGUCCCGGUUUAAGCGUGUAGGCUGGUUUUCCAGGCAAAUCCGGAAAAUCAAGGCUGAGGCGUGAUGACGAGGCACUACGGUGCUGAAGCAACAAAUGCCCUGCUUCCAGGAAAAGCCUCUAAGCAUCAGGUAACAUCAAAUCGUACCCCAAACCGACACAGGUGGUCAGGUAGAGAAUACCAAGGCGCUUGAGAGAACUCGGGUGAAGGAACUAGGCAAAAUGGUGCCGUAACUUCGGGAGAAGGCACGCUGAUAUGUAGGUGAAGUCCCUCGCGGAUGGAGCUGAAAUCAGUCGAAGAUACCAGCUGGCUGCAACUGUUUAUUAAAAACACAGCACUGUGCAAACACGAAAGUGGACGUAUACGGUGUGACGCCUGCCCGGUGCCGGAAGGUUAAUUGAUGGGGUCAGCGCAAGCGAAGCUCUUGAUCGAAGCCCCGGUAAACGGCGGCCGUAACUAUAACGGUCCUAAGGUAGCGAAAUUCCUUGUCGGGUAAGUUCCGACCUGCACGAAUGGCGUAAUGAUGGCCAGGCUGUCUCCACCCGAGACUCAGUGAAAUUGAACUCGCUGUGAAGAUGCAGUGUACCCGCGGCAAGACGGAAAGACCCCGUGAACCUUUACUAUAGCUUGACACUGAACAUUGAGCCUUGAUGUGUAGGAUAGGUGGGAGGCUUUGAAGUGUGGACGCCAGUCUGCAUGGAGCCGACCUUGAAAUACCACCCUUUAAUGUUUGAUGUUCUAACGUGGACCCGUAAUCCGGGUUGCGGACAGUGUCUGGUGGGUAGUUUGACUGGGGCGGUCUCCUCCUAAAGAGUAACGGAGGAGCACGAAGGUUGGCUAAUCCUGGUCGGACAUCAGGAGGUUAGUGCAAUGGCAUAAGCCAGCUUGACUGCGAGCGUGACGGCGCGAGCAGGUGCGAAAGCAGGUCAUAGUGAUCCGGUGGUUCUGAAUGGAAGGGCCAUCGCUCAACGGAUAAAAGGUACUCCGGGGAUAACAGGCUGAUACCGCCCAAGAGUUCAUAUCGACGGCGGUGUUUGGCACCUCGAUGUCGGCUCAUCACAUCCUGGGGCUGAAGUAGGUCCCAAGGGUAUGGCUGUUCGCCAUUUAAAGUGGUACGCGAGCUGGGUUUAGAACGUCGUGAGACAGUUCGGUCCCUAUCUGCCGUGGGCGCUGGAGAACUGAGGGGGGCUGCUCCUAGUACGAGAGGACCGGAGUGGACGCAUCACUGGUGUUCGGGUUGUCAUGCCAAUGGCACUGCCCGGUAGCUAAAUGCGGAAGAGAUAAGUGCUGAAAGCAUCUAAGCACGAAACUUGCCCCGAGAUGAGUUCUCCCUGACUCCUUGAGAGUCCUGAAGGAACGUUGAAGACGACGACGUUGAUAGGCCGGGUGUGUAAGCGCAGCGAUGCGUUGAGCUAACCGGUACUAAUGAACCGUGAGGCUUAACCUU